Molecule: ribosomal RNA, 78 nt
Filed under: uncultured bacterium
Lineage: Bacteria
Description: partial 16S ribosomal RNA
Source: RNAcentral
GGGGGGAAACCUGAAGCAGCCCUGCCGCGUGAGUGAAGAGGCCUUCGGGUUUGAAAACUGUUUUGGCAGGGAAGAAAU